This is a long non-coding RNA of Juglans regia (Persian walnut), 2479 nucleotides long. RefSeq lists it as uncharacterized. The transcript is spliced from 3 exons. Lineage: Eukaryota; Viridiplantae; Streptophyta; Magnoliopsida; Fagales; Juglandaceae. The record is from RefSeq and is a predicted model, not a curated record.
ACCCUUCCAUUUCAGAUUUCAUUUCCCCUUUCUCCAACCCAUGCGACGGCUGCUGCUUCUCCUCUUCUCCUUCAUUUUAUGUCAUUUUUUGUUCUCCUCUGUUUUUCAUUGAGUUGCCGUCUGCAGUGUUCCUUCUUCCUCUCCAUCUUAUUUUCGGAUCUUCCCCUCUACAAGUCAGCAAGCGCCACCAUUCAUUCCUCCAUCUUCGGCUGGUCUGUCCGUGAGCCUCCAUUGUUGUGCUUUCUCUUAAAUCUUCCUUACUAAUUUCGUGGCUCAUGCUUGUGAUUUAUUUCCAUUGCAUUCCCUUUUUGUUUGGUCUUUAACUGCUCUGUUUUGCCUUAUUGCCGUGCCCUGUUUUUGCCAUAAAAGCCUUGAGCUUCGCAUGUCUUUUUGGUGAUUUUGGUGCUUGCCGUGAGUGCAUCUUCUGCCAUCGCUUGUUGCCUCUCGAUUUCCCUUGGACUUCAUUGAGAAGAGAGGAGCAGUACACGGAUCCUUACCAUGAGGCUAUGUGUGGUGGCAAUUUGGGUGGAUCUAGAUGGCGACGCGACUGAGCUCAAUGGUGGUGGGAUUUCUGAGAGAGAGAGAGAGAGAGAGAGAGAAUAGAGAGGGAGAGAGCACUAUGAGAGGGGAGGAUACCGAGGUGGGUGGUAUGUCGUAGGUGUGCAAUUGUGAGGUGGGAGGGGUGGUUUGUGGACGGUGUCCGAUGAUGGAGAAUAUUUUUCCAUCGAGUAGCGGUGGCCAAGCCGUUGAGAUAUUCAAAGGUGGUUAGAAACGUGAUAUCGAAAGAGAGAGUGUGUGUGUUGUGGCAUCGACAGUGGCCUACGAUGUUCUUACUGUGCUUAAAUUGUGGCAAUCGUAGGGUGGAGGCUUGGACAGUGUUUUCAGUGGAGUUAGAUGGCUGAGGAGGCUUGCGGGAUUGGUGCAUGGGAAGAACCGGUGCUUUGUUUCUGGUUAUGAAAACAGAGGAUGUUUCGGGGACGUGCGUGGGUGGCCAAGACUCUAAAAAAAUCUGUAGAAGUAGACUGACGUUAAGAUUUAAAAUAUAUUUAUUUAUAAGGAGAACGUCGUACGAGUUUCAUGUUAUUUUACGUCUGUUGAAAUUACUUGUUUUUUACAGAAGAGUCGUGCUAUGGAGGCUUAGAAUGAGAAUGAACGUAAAUCGAUUCUCAUGGCUGUUACUACCCAAUCAUUCACCAAUAACUCUAGAGAGCAACCCCGAGUAGCCCUCGACUGUAAUACAUCAGAGAUCAACGAUAGUUCAUUGAUCACAACGAAUGAUAUUAGAGCUGCUCAUGAUCAAGGGUUUCCUACAGAUUUCGAUGAUGUGUCAAACAAUUUCAACAACAGCAGCAAGAUUAAUGAACAAGGAUUUUUUUUCCAAGCCUCCUGGGUACAGAUUUAUCCUAACAGACGAAGAGUUCAUAAUCUUUUACUUGGAGAAAAAAGUAUGGAAUCUGCCCUUGCCAAUUAACUAGAUCGUAGAGGUUAAUCUAUAUGCAUGUAAUCCACAUUUCUUGUAGAUAGGUAGUAUUGAUCUUGUUCAAACACCUAUUUCUUUAUUGGUAUUCUUUAAUGGUUUUAGCUGUUUGGAAUUUGGAUUUUUCCAAUGAAAUUGGUUUGAACAUAACUUUGCACGAUAUAUAGUUUAUUGUUUGCUAAUUAUUCACCAAUAUCUGAUAUGCCAUGAUUCUCUCGUUCAGAUUAAAAAUUAUUAGCAAGAAAAAAACUCUUUAUAUCAUAUGACGUUAUGUUCAAAAGAUCCAGUUAACAUCUCAAACCAUGGAAGAAUAUCAAGAAAGAAACAGGAUGUUUGAACAAGAUCAGUACUUAUACCUGCAAGAAAAUCUGCGUCAUAUGCAUAUAGGUUAACUUCCACGAUCUUGUUAAUUGGCAGGGGCUGGUUCCAUACUUUCUUCUCCAAGUAAAAGAUGAUGAACUCUUAAUUUGUUGGGAGAAAUCUGUACCCAGGAGGGAAUCCAAAAACAUCUUGAAUCUUGUUGUUGCUUUUGAAAGGCUCAUCAUCGAUAUCUACAGAAAAUCUUUUAUUUGUAGCAGCUCCAAUAUUAUUCGUUGUGAUCAAUGAACUGUCGUUGCUUUCUGGUGUAUUAAGUCGAGGGCUACUUGGAGUUGCUCUCUUGAGUUAUUGGUAAAUGAUUGGUUAGUAACAACAGCCAUGAGAAUCGGUUUACGUUCCUUGCCAUUCUCAACCUCCAUAACAUGACUCUUCUCUGGAAAACAAGUAAUUUUAGAUGACGUCAAAUAAUUUAAAACUCGUACAACAUUUUCUCUCUAUAAAUAAAUAUAUUUUAAAUCUUAGCGCCAGUUCACUUCUACCGAUUUUUUUAGAAUUUUGGACUUAUCCAAAAGUGUAAUUUGUCUUUUUAAAUAUUUUUUUAAAUCCAUUUAGACAUUUUAUCCUUCUGAUUGGAUUGUUUACCUCGACUCUAUAUUCAUGCAUAAUCCAGUUAGUCUUCUUACC